RNAcentral lists this ribosomal RNA (305 nucleotides) under uncultured bacterium. RNAcentral describes it as "bacterial SSU rRNA". It matches the Rfam family "Bacterial small subunit ribosomal RNA", at positions 337 to 634 of the family's 1533-position model. The record is from RNAcentral.
GCCUACGGGGGGCAGCAGUAGGGAAUCUUCCACAAUGGGCGAAAGCCUGAUGGAGCAACGCCGCGUGGGUGAAGAAGGUCUUCGGAUCGUAAAACCCUGUCGUUAGAGAAGAAAGUGCGUGAGAGUAACUGUUCACGUUUCGACGGUAUCUGACCAGAAAGCCACGGCUAACUACGUGCCAGCAGCCGCGGUAAUACGUAGGUGGCAGGCGUUAUCCGGAUUUAUUGGGCGUAAAGGGAACGCAGGCGGUCUUUUAAGUCUGAUGUGAAAGCCUUCGGCUUAACCGGAGUAGUGCAUUGGAAACU